Long non-coding RNA from Varroa destructor (honeybee mite), 8951 nucleotides. Lineage: Eukaryota; Metazoa; Arthropoda; Arachnida; Mesostigmata; Varroidae. The record is from RefSeq and is a predicted model, not a curated record.
UCAUAUACUCUCGUCUUUGAGAACAUGCGUCCUUCGAAGUCCCGCCACAGCCAAAAGGUACAAACAAUCAAUACGGGACGUUAAAAAUUCGACUUCGUUGACGAUCUCAACGAUAGCCGGCAUUAAGGUUUUACCGUAUUUUUCACAAGAUCUGUGUAGAUUCGUGUUCAUUCUAGAUAGUAGAUUUGAACACUUCAGCGUAGCUUAUUGGUGUUCAAAAAAACUAUGGACUUUCUAUUCAUUGUCAGCAUCUGCUCUGUUCGUCAUUUGCGCUUCUGUUUUCUGCCCGACAUAAAAACUGCAUAAGAAGUGCAUAACUUUUCUACACCAAGAAAAGGUCGCCUGAUUAUAGGACGAAUCUCGACGAGGUGGCUGGCGUAGACGUAAUUCGUUGAGUUGACCGUCGGCUCGCUCAUUAAGUUUUGUAUCAUUGAAAAUGGUCGAGCUGAGGCAGAUAAGGCGAUGUAAUGUAUACUUUUUCAAGUAACUUUUGCUUAUUGUAGGUUAUAGGAGUAUAACAAUGAUGCGGUAAAGAGUGCUCUGUUUAUCUUAAAAACUUGCUAGAUUACCAUUUACUUUGUGCCGUUUCGAGAGGACCUGAUCUAUAAGAAGUUGUGACGUCCAUUUAAUUUCAGUACUGGUAAAAUACUGCGACAUAAAGGAUAGUAUAUUAUAGUUAUUAUUAUCAGUUGUGAUGAUGAUGAUGGUAAUCAUUAUUCAAAGUCAAACAUAUCACAGCUUUUAUAGGUAUAUUUAAUCCGUAACAUUCAGAAUCGUUAACAAUGCUAUCCAUUAUGAUUGUAUGGAUCGCAGUUAGCGUAGGUGUAUAUUACAACCUUCUCUAUUUGUAAAGGUUACGUACUAUGUAUCAUUCAAGCAGUGACUCCUGGUGUUUUGUAACCCGAGGCUUGGCCUUCCAAGUUAUCGUGCCGGCACAAACGCGUAUAAUAACUAGUUAUUUUGGUUACUGUCAAUUCGUUCGUUUGCGGGACCGAAAGGCCAAAUAGGUAUUAGACAUAAGUUGUGGCAGUUACAGCAUUAACCCUACCGCUCUUUUUUAUUUGAUUCGGGCUGAAUAAUUCUACUAUACAAAUCGGUUAUUAAGAAAAACUUAAUUCAAAACGAGGAUUUUACAUGGAGGGUGUCUUUAUUGACAGCUGGUGUGUAAUGCAGAGAUUUUACCCCAAUAAGCUUGUCCAGGUAAUACGAUCUAACACAAGACAUAAUAAAAAAGCUCUGUUAUUUCCAACCAAGGACAAUCGUUGAAAACUCCCACUUUCCAGUCCGGAAACUUGUCUUUAUUUAAAAACGUUUAGUAUCAACAAAGCGCACCAUUUUGAUCUAGCUAUCACUGACGUUUAGGAAAAUUACGAGUAAGAAACGUAUUACGCUGCUCGCACUAAAAGGCCUUGAAUGAAACAGAGUAAUUCCGGAUUAAACUUCUCUUUCCGAUGAAAGGCCCUAUCGGCGGGGCCGUGCUUUUCAGCUUUUUUGCUGGUGCACGCAGUGCCACUGUACUCUCACUGCGGACAAAGUUUCGAAAUAAAAAUACUAUAAUAUAGGCCAUUCUUCGGUGUCUGCGCUUAUUGUUCGCUAUAGAGGAAGACAUUUUACGCGCGCCCAAAUCGUAGUAAAUGAGAGCGCCGAAAAAUAAAACGAUUUUCCAUUCGUGCUACAAAGCAAAAUAUAUGACGCCUCCCAGUGCACAAUGAGAAAGUAAACAUUCACUGCGUAACAGCACAUCCCAUUAGUAUUUAAAAGAUAAUUACCAUUCAAGUCCAGAAAACUGUAGCAUAUUGAGUAACAAAAAAAUUAGUCAUCACUUUGACUAAUCAAUAUACCGUUGUCGGCUACCAUCAAAUAUUUGGGAAAGCAUACGCUAAAAUCAGCUAGGUCAUUAUUAUGGACGACACCCAGCACGUGAACAUAGGAUUUUAAGCAGAUAAGGCCUACAUUGUAAUUACUGAUGGCUUAAUCUUACUAUUGUGCAAAUACUUCAUGUGCUAACCCGUAUAUUUGUCGCGUCCUAUCAGUCCUAUCUAUGAGAUGUCCAGCACACACUGUUUUGCUCAUACAUAAUGCCUCUCUUCGCGCCUGUUGUCUUCACGGGUCAUGCGCGACCCACAACGUUACUUCACUGUUUGCUUCGAUGCACCGUAGAUCUUAUGAUGAGCUAUUUUUUCUUGUCGCUUCUGGCCGCAGUUUCUACUCUGUUCGACCGAAAGCACGCCUGAUGAAUAGAAAUGGCGACUUUGACCACCUUCCCCCGUAGAACUCCUCCCCGGCUUGUAUGUAGGUGUUCAAAGGGUUUCAAAGCACGUUCGGUCCAUCGCCCUUCCACUUCCCGUUUUCGUACCUAGCAAAGUUCUCGACCUGCCCGUAACCGCCUUUGGCCUUUAACGGGGUGUAAGAAGUCAGGGGGCAAACGGAAAAGGGCGUGAGGGGAAAGCUGCCUCUAACCGGGGCUUUUCCAUCACGCUGUCUAGGGGGCUUUGCUUGCCUCAUAUAGCGUUGGUCGCUGGACCCUUUUUUACCAUAUCAUCAGCAUCGAAAGCAGCAACCACUUGGAAGUAAGACCAAAGCCGGUUCAGGCACCGGUACUCGCUCUGCAUCUCGGGGGACUAGUGCAGUUACCACUUUCUUCUUCACGCUGUUGCGGCAGCGGCGAUCAGUAGCAGUGCACAUUGUCAGCAGUGUUCCCUUUUUCGCAAAAAAGCGAACAAUAAGGAAAAGGUUGGUUUGGGACGCCAGGCUAACAGCGGAAGAGCCAACGCCUUCGAUCUUACGCUUUGCGGCAACCAGCACGAGCGCAUCAAAUAGGAAUAGCUAUAAGAACGGGAAGUUGAAGGUGAGGGCAGGCCAUUCAUACGGACGGUAAACGACUUCAGUAAAGGGUUAGGGAAAUUGGUGAAGCGGGCGGUAAGAAGCGAAGAUGUUCGAAAGCACCCGUUGAGGUUGAAGAUAGGAGGGUUAACGGUAGUAGCAAGAACACAUGUAGUAGCAGUAGUGGGGAACCUCCUUGGUAUAGCCCCGGCGUGGCUUGUGUGGCCUCAUUCGCUUAUGCUACGGUAUGCCUUGCUACUCAGGCUCUGUUCUUCUGUUCUAUCCAAUUUUGUUCCAACUUAUACUCACUGUUCGCUUGCUAAGGUUUCUUUCCCCUCGUGCGGGAGUGACAUGGUAGUUAUGGCGGGAGGGCGAUGCCUCGACAAGUGUUCCUGUCAUAGAAGCUUCUCUCAUCUAUUUUUCUUUUAUCGCAUUCUCACUAUUUGUGUUUGACCUACCCUGCCUUACUGGUCGGCCGCCACAUCCUACGCAGCAAAAACAUCACCGUUGAGCGUAGUGCAGGCGAACAUCCGCUGCAGUGGUGGGGGAUUGCAGCUAUUUUUCGUUUCUUUGUGGUGUAGGUGGUCUUGUUUUCCUCCGACUGCUCCUUGGAUCUUUGAAGAUUUGGCCUCGUCCUCGGAGGCGCCGGUCAGUCGGUUCGAACCACCACGAACACGAAACAUUUGUCCAUCCCCAGCCAUUUAACCAACGAACGGUGCUUUUGCCACUAUCCACUAACAUCUGUCUAUCCAUCUAUACCCGUUCUCUCCAUUUCGACCUGCUCUUACCGCUGAGCAGCUGAUAGAUGUUUGGUUUGACUAACUCGGUCGCCUGCUAUGGGACAAGGGUGGUGGAAAAGGGGGCAGCGGAUAUGCCCCGACUCUACUCUUUUAACUUACAAGAUGGCUGCUUGUCUUGUCUGACUAGUACAGCUGAUGGUAAAGCUCGGGACUACUAGCACAGACAAGCCUUCUACAGACGGUAGGUGAAAAAUGCCAAGAAGUCGCCGUUACCGAGCUUUUUUGCGGUUUUCGUCUGGACGUCAUUGAGGACUCGGCAGUUUAUGUUAGUGCCGCCUCUAGUGACCCCUGCUAUUAUCCCGGUUUUACUGCUGAUAUCCGCACAGAACGACUUUAGCGACGGACGAGCACUGCCAUGAGCGAAGUUUAAGAGACAUAUUUGACCGGUAGCAGGCAUUCAGUUGCUGCAACCAUGCCGGGGCCUUCAUGCUCGAGCAGUCUACUGGCGCCCAUGGAAGCUUGCAUUGAUCGUAAGUAAUAGCUACUCAACUCACAAAAUUGAGAUGUCAAAAUGCAACGUGUUAUUAAAAAAACGACCGCGGUAAAAGUCAGCAUGAAGAAGCAUGAAGACGCGUGGAAAAGACUAAUAUAGCACGCUUAGAUGUCUCGAACGGUUUCACGAAGGUAGACGGUAGUGAGUACAGAAAUGGUAACCGGACUUAUGAUAGCCGUAAGCAUUGUAUAUACUGCCGUAAAUAUAAGUACCGUUCAUUUUCGACUUCCAUUAUUUUGCAGAAUGCGCCUUUAAUCUAAUUGUUUUCAUAUCAUUAUUAUUAACUUAUAACUACUGGUUAGCUAUGGCUAUAGCUUUCGACCUCGUUGCCAUGGCUUCACAAACUUCCGCGGUAGUCUCAUUUUGUUGUUGAGUUGAUACACACUGAAAAUUAUUGUGGACUUCAUACGAUUUCUAUAGUAAUAAAUGCAGCAGACGCUCAAAGCAGAAGAUUCCUGCGCUGCACAGAUAUUGUAUCAUAAUCGAAUAGAUAGGCGUAAUGUCAAUAAAAGCAUUUCUGUAAAUUCAUUAUCGAUCUUGAAUUUAAAGUACAUACGUCAUGACUGGGUCUGUAUAUACGAAACUGCCAGCUGUUGCUGAAGGAUUGUUCGUCCCUUUCAAGCCACCUUCUCACAGACUCCUGCCCUAACUUUCGUUCAUAAGCUGCCAGUUCCUCAUAAUUGCGUGUCUAAUGAUGAAUCCUGCUUCAGAUUGGUUAAAGCUUUAUCAAAUGCCAUAUUCCUUUAAAUAACGGGUGAGUCUGUAUUUCAUCAUCUGAUGCUGGAACGAGUGUCAACAGAAGCUCUCACUUCUUACCUUAUCAAGGCCAAAGAGCAAUAAGUUUUACUCUUGCCAAAAAAAGCAACCGUUAGUUUGAAGUUAGCCUAUCAAUCUUUCGUGUGGCCGUGAGUCCGGCUAAUUUCAAGUACUUUCAACCUGAGGGAUGAGCACGCAACUAUUUAUCAAUAGCUUUAAUGGUCUUCUUCUUCACAAAAUUGGUGCCAGUGUGAAACUGCAAUCAUCGGUGUGCGACUCGUUGACAAGAACUCGGCCUUCAGCCAUAUCUCUUUAAAUUCGACUGGAAGAAUCUCGGAUUGAAAUGCCAGAAGUCUUGUCGUACAGAUGGAAGCAUUUUUGGAAAUACAUGAAUUAGAUCUAACAUUGCUAGCUAAUGGCAAACAUAUGGGCGCUUAUUUUUAUAAUUCAGUCCUCUCAUUGAUGACAAGAAGUCAUCACUAGAUUUUAUUUGACCAUCUUGUGUCUUAUAGACGUUGUCAACUUUUAUACUAACGACACUACGCGGAACACGUGGUGGUAGAAGCCAAUGUGCUUUUAUUGGGUUUCUUGCUUUUCUUUUAUUCAUAGUCACCUUAGAAUGGGCGACUGGGUAUCACCCCUGAUUUAUCGUAAGUUAUAGCCGUCCUGUUUUUAUCUGAACGAAGCGAUUACGAUUAGGUAUAACGGGGUUCGGUCUCAUUAAAUUGUGGGGGUGCAGAUGUGUGCGUCCAAAACAGCAGCUUGAUCGUCGUUUAAUAAGCUAGUAAUGUAUUAUGCAAAUGACUAAGAAGUACGAUAAACCUUACUAUAGGUAAUUAUAGUACUAAUAACAACAAUAAGAUGCUUUUUUAAACGCAACCAAUUUCCCAGGUAUUUCACUUAGGUUGGCCAAGUAUACAUUUAGAGUUAUUUUGAGAAUGAAUUGGAUUUAAUUCAAAAGUUGCAUCGAGAUGUAACUAAAGUUUAGGGCCAAGAAACAUUAAAAAGACGUCUCAAUUGAAAGCGAAGAAGUUCAGUACUUUCAGAAGGCAAAAAAACUACAUUUUUUGGCUAUAAUAUCGAUUAUAGCAUCAGGCAAACUUCAAACUAAGAAGAUGUCCGAACCUAAAAAACAAUCAUCAUUUGUACGCAAUUAUUAAUACAUCUUAGGAUGACACAGAGCUGCACGCACUAGCAAUCUCUGUAGCAUAUUCUAUCAGUUCGAGGGGUCAGAACUACCUAUGAUUGCAAAUAUCUUCUGAAGGGUAUCUGGGGGCAUAGUUGCAACUGAUUAAGGUAACGUAUUACGUCGAACGAAGUCGAUGCUGUUUCGUUAGUGUUUGACUUCGACCGUUUUCUCGACGAACCAGGGGCAUAGAUGGAUAUAGGAAACUUGAAUCAUUAAGCUUGAUAAUUCGGUGUUUCGCGCUACACAAACAGUGUGAAUUAACAUUUAUAAUUUGAUAUUCCAUUUGAAAAUUGUGCUCGUUUUACAAAUCGAUCACUCAAUUAACGUUUCCCUUUUUGAGACUAAAAAACAUUUUGUUUGCAAUAAAAAUUUCACAAGUUCUCUUAAAGAGAACUUUUUUCUUGACUCUGAUUACGGCAACGUAAGACGUAAGUAUUUGCCGCGGAAGCUCCGUAUUCUUCAGUUAAUAAUUAUACACUUCAUAACGCGACCAUCGUAAAUUCGUUUACUCUUAUAGCUUUGUCCGUAUUUUGUUAGCACUUUCUUGCUUACUUGAUUUAACAUUAUAGCAAAAUGUCUUACAACGACAAUCCAAAAACAAUCUGUCUGACCGCCGACGGCUGUAUUGGCAAGUACAUCUAUCCGAACAUUGGCAAAGCACCCGUCUUCAGUGAACACCCCAGUGAAUUGCGCUGUGCAAAACAUCUUCUUCUCCUAGUCGUCACUGUUCUACGUUGUGGUCCGUCUGUUCAUGCUUCAUUACGUUCCGAUGACAGAUCUUCUCUGUGUCUCCCUUCCAAAAAAGUUGAUCCUUUCCAAAACCUCUGACUAAGCCAACAUGAUUCUGUCAGUGCACAAAAGUCGUAAAACGCUUUCUGAUCUGCUUAUGCCUUCGUUGUCCCCGAUAGCUACAAGUACAACUGCGACCUUUACCACCGCGGUAGGUAGGACGAAUAACUAGGCGCUAUGCUCGAACGAGAAGAAACGAUAUCAAAGUCUUACAGAAGCGUACAAGCGGGUUUGCACGGGUAACGACGAGACCCAGCCUUUGCUCCGUCGUGCACGAGAAGAACCGGAAAAAACUUGACAUAAAUGGAUAAUCUGCAAGUUAUCGUGAGUGAGAAUCUAUAAUCACCGGUCGAAUUUUGCAGGAGCGAUGCAGAGACGCAAAUAUUUGUCAGGGUUGAGUAAGGAAAUAAGCGGUUAAAGAUAGGAGAUAAAAACACAGAAUCAUCGAUGGAUUAUAUACAGUAUCUGGCGGUAGAUAAACACACUGCCAUACUGACCUGAGAGAAAAUGAUGAAUGGAACUAAGAAAACGCUAAUAUCGGGUCCAUAAAAAGGCUCUGGCAGAAUGAUUUUCAAAAGAUCUGGAUACAGUCGGGUACCACCAUGAGAUAUCGUCCUAGCGUGAAGGCUAGAAACGAGUAAGCAUGAUUAAUCACCCACUCAAAUUAUCGAUUUACCUGACGGCUUAUAAGUAACCUUCGAAGUAAGUGGAUGCGGCGCGCAGGCUCUUUUAUUGGGCUCUGGAGGAGAGCUUAAGCACCGAGCUGUCGUUGACUCGCACGUUUGUGAGAGAAACGCUAAAAGCAGAGGGAGGGUGAAUGGCCUUUCUUGUAGGAUAAUCCCGUGAUUCAAUAAGGACAUAAAGAAGGAAAACAGCCAUGAAGAAAGCCCGAAUAAAUAUAUGACGACCUCUAAUGAUUUGAUAUGCAUAUUCGAUAUCUUCUCUAAAACAAUACUUGCCGUACUGGAAAAUGUACGUCUGUAUAUUUAACACAAAGGUAAUAUUUUGACAAAGGUUGAGUUUUUGUACAGCUUCACGAGUUUACCCAUAUAGGCUCGGGGGGGCAUUCGAUAUACUUCGUAGUCGAUAGCAUCCGUAGUGCGUUAUCAAUCUUGCUUGCCUCAAGCACACUCUACGGAAGGCCAUGCCAGAAUAUAACUAACUCGAUUACCAGAAUGUGGCUUCGAAUAGAAAAGCCAUCGGUCCUCGGCUAAAGAUCUUCGCGGCGGGAGUACAGAAGGCUUUCAGCAGUAAUUUUGGUGUUUAACAGCUACGUAGCAAGAGUGUGGCUUCUUGUUUUUCGAAAUCCCUUAUUUCCUAGUUUAGCUUCAGGGCCUUCACAAUGUAUAUUAGCCCAUCUCAACCGUCUGGAAGCCUUCGUUUACAUUUAGCGCGCUUGCUUGUUAAUACAGGGUCUCGAUUAGACCAAGUCAUCAACAUGAUUGUUUUCUCUUUUUUUUUUUGAGCCAAAUAAAGCAUUUGCGAAUACUACCAACGUUUCCUAAAUGCUAUGAACGCUUUAUUUAUUUUUUGGUUUCAGGAAGGCCUAUCUCAAAAAUUAGUUUUAGCCAAAUUAGCUUUUUGCCAAUAUCUGAUAGAAAUAAAAACGAUGUUUAAACAAUUACGCGUCAUAGAAAACUAUUUAAACCAAUAAGGCUUAUUUUAUCGUAUCUCGAUUAGCUUAAUUAAUACUAUUGACAAAAAAACACUGUCGCUUAAGACCGCUUAAAAGAGCCCUUUCAGAGUAACUUACGAUCUAACUGACAUAGGAUUGGAGCUGUUUUGUUACUGCGAAGAAGUGUGCCACUUCGUUUAUGUUACAGUGACACAUAGUAUAACUGUAGUAUAGCAUGAAGUACAUCGUUCACAAACAGAUAGUUUGAAUCGCUAGCCCAACAGGCAUAGCCGCAGUUACUACACAUAUAAAUUGAUAUACAAUAAAUUCCCUAUUUCACAAUAGCUCGAGCUAUCUCGCAGCGUAUCUCUAACAUACUCAAUGGCAGUAACAAUCAAUACGAUUACUUCUUCAAGCGUAUUUACAAGCUGGACAAAACAAAGAAAAAAAAAACCGGGAGAACAACCACUAACACUCCUGGUAGAU